RNAcentral lists this transfer RNA (71 nucleotides) under Maratecoara formosa. Its description in RNAcentral is "tRNA-Gln". It matches the Rfam family "tRNA". From Rfam's summary of the family: Transfer RNA (tRNA) molecules are approximately 80 nucleotides in length. Their secondary structure includes four short double-helical elements and three loops (D, anti-codon, and T loops). Lineage: Eukaryota; Metazoa; Chordata; Actinopteri; Cyprinodontiformes; Rivulidae. The record is from RNAcentral.
UAAAAAGUGGUGUAGAGGUUGCACUAGAGGUUUUGAUCCUCUAAGGAUGGGUUCAACCCCCAUUUUUUUAG